RNAcentral lists this long non-coding RNA (33422 nucleotides) under Malus domestica (apple). Its description in RNAcentral is "long non-coding RNA (MDOM_LNC008013)". The record is from RNAcentral. Lineage: Eukaryota; Viridiplantae; Streptophyta; Magnoliopsida; Rosales; Rosaceae.
AUCCUCACACCAUUAUCUGUAUUUGUAAUCGUGCAGUUCUUGAUAAAGAUUCCGGACACAGGUUCUUCAUCCUCAGUCCUUCCGAGGCUUCCGAUGCUUAUGCCGUGGCCUGGUCCGCAUUUAACGUUGGUUACAUGGAGUUGGUUGGUUCCGUGACCUAUAGAGAUGCAAUCAUCCCCAGUUCCAAUGGUUGUAUCUCUGAUGUUGAUCCCAGAUGAACGUCCCAUAUGAAUUCCUUUUGUAUUGACGCUCUCUUGAGGCGCUGAGACAGUAAAAUCUUAGAAUACCAGAUUUUUGCAACCCAUAAGAUUGACGUGGGAAUUUUUUGCUGUCUUUUCUUGUUAUAUCUCGAAUUAUAGAAUUGGUAACAGAAUUGAACCUCAAAUUCUGCCAAAGUGUGAAAACAGUUAAAACAUAUUAAGACAAGUAAUGUCUCUUGCAAAAGUUAUGUUGUCAGGAGAAUUUUUUUAUAGUCAGAAUGAAUCAAAAUCGCAGAUUAUCCACAUGAUCCAUGACUUAGAGUCGCUACCUAAUAUAUACCCUUUUCACAUGUAUGGCUCGGGCUGUCAGGCACCAUAUAUAUAUAUAUAUAUAUAUAUAUAUUCUUAGAAGAGUAUGAUCAGCCAAUUAGUUUCACAAUCUAGCAAUUGAUUUAAAAUAUAAAAGAACAAGAUUUAAAUUAUCUUACGAUAGCUUUAGAUUUGCAAUCUUUGUUUUUGUGACAAUCAUUUUGCUUCCAAGCAGUUGCUCCUUGGCCAUCGAAAGUUCCACCACCAGAUAAGGUGAGCCCAUCAAUGCGCUCAAAAGCUACCCAAGUAUCUUGUUUUGGGAGAUCCUUGAUAUGUUCUGGAGCCUGCACUGUGCCUUUUAGCUGAAACUCAAUAGCAGCUUUGCAUGGUCCUUUGAAAGUUGCCCCUACAAACUUGUAUGUCCCACUUGGAACAACAAUUUUACUUGCCGACGUCGAUGCACAUGCAUCUGUCCAAGCUUUGCUCAAAGCCUAAUUACAAACAUUAAAUAAAAAUUAAAAAUUAAAAAUUGAAAUGAUUCUGGUUAAUUACGAACCAAUUCUAGAACGGAAAUGAUUUUCCGCUUAUUCAUUUUUUUCCCAUGCAUACUUAUUGCUUACUUCUAACUAAACAAAUCGAAAGAAAAAGCAAGAAACAAAAACAAGAAUGUGCAAAGACUAAGUGUGUACGGAAGUAAUUUUUCUUCUAGCCAAAAAUAUUGGUUUAGCAUUUCAAGAUGAAUUAUAUAAGUAUAUAUAAUGCCUACCUCGGUUAGGUAUAAAAUAUCGAUGAUAUCGAAAAUAUCGGUAGUCCAAAAACACGGAAAUUUUGAUGGAAAUAUCAGGAUAUUAUCGAUAUCGAUAAAAAUUGAAUAAAAACCACGGAAAUUGUAAGAAAAACUUGGAAAUUUUUAUUGAAACUUCGCAGGAUGUUUAUUUAGUCAAUUAUCUAUUAGUUUAUCACAAAAAAUUGGAAGGAAAUGCAUUGCAUGAUAGAUAUAAUUGAUUUAAGUUGAUUAUAUAGCGAGUUGGCAAACAUUGUGAGUGUAGAAAAUAUGUAUUAAUUAAUGAAAGAAGUUUAAACACAUCAUAAUCAUUUAUAUAUAAUGAAUUAGUACAAUAUUUUACACUUUAUACAUUGCAUGGUAAGAUACAUGAGUGACUUAGCAAGGUCUAAAAUAUCGAUGAUAUCGGAAAUAUCAGUAGUCCAAAAAAUAUCGAUAGUCCAAAAACACGGAAAUUUCGAUGAAAAUAUCGGGAUAUUAUGGAUAUUUUAGAACUUAUAUCAAAGUUUGCUUUUCCACCAUAAUUUGUACUUGUUACAUCAUAGACACCAGAUUGGGCAUUAGAUGUGGAUACUAACAAGAAGGACAUAAACAUUGGCAAGAUAUUUUUCAGUUUCAAAUCCAUCUUGAGUUUUCAAUUCAGAAUUAGUUUCUUUCGUUUGGAGGUUUGAUGAAAACUUUAUUUUGGUUUUGUUUGUACCAUACUUGACCAAUUCCGAAACUACUGAGCACCGAUCAACGUUAUACCGUCAAUGAUCCAAAAGAGUUUCCCUCUAACCAGGAGGCCAAUCACAGCGCACACGUGUCGACAUCAGAAGCCAAUCAUAGCGCGACACGUGUCAACAUCAGAAGCCAAUGACAACACAACACGUAUCAAUGUCAGAACAAAACUAGAAACUCUCUUCUAUAAAAGGAGAUCAUUCUCCCACAAUAUUUCCUAAUGUCAUUUGUACUAAAUAAUUCACUAGUACUCACUAAAUGAGAGCUUGAACCUACGUACUUGUGUAAACCCUUCACAAUUAAUGAGAACUCUUCUACUCCAUGGACGUAGCCAAUCUGGGUGAACCAUGUACAUCUUGUGUUUUGCUUUUCUGUCUCUAUCCAUUUACAUACUUACCCACACUAGUGACCGCGAAGGUCAUAAACUUGACACUUUCUGUUGUACCAAAGUCCUCGCCGAUUUUGUUCAUCAACAUUUGGCGCCAUCUGUGGGAAACACAUUUAUUUCUACUUUCUUCAGCUUUGUCAAGCUGGUUUCCACCAUUCAUACACUCUCUUUUGACCAGGCAUCCCUCUCCAACAUGGGGAGCGAAGGAAGCCACAACAUGCAGAACGACACCCCCCUCGCACCUGGUGCAAAGCAACAAAAAAAUGAACAAAAGAAGUUUGCUCUUCAGGCUAAAACACACGAGCUCAUCACCUCUAUGAAAGUCAACCAUCAACUGGGUGCCCCCCAACACGGAGGGUCAUUUGCCUUCGACAUGGGUAUUCUUGUUGAGGAGCGAGCUACUCAUUGAAAUGGCGACCAACAUGAGACUUCUCUCAACCCAGCUGCUUCGACCCGAAGCAGGAGAAGUUGAGGAAAGCACCUCCUUACAGAAUGAGUGGAAUGAUUGAAAGCCGUCUUUCGCAACUGUCGAGACUUCCUAAAGCAACGUCGAGACAAUCUCAUCUAUGUAAGCUCGAAGAUCAAUGACCCAAGGGUCUCUGAAAGACUCGGUCCCCUCCCAUGUCUCAGGCCAACUACCAAUUUGGGGAAGGGGCAGCAAGUCCUAGAAAAACACGAAGGUAUAGGGGACUCAGAGAUGUUCCGACAGACAUACCUUGGAAGUCAGUAUGGCUAGUCCAGGGAAAAAUCACAUACUCUUGAUCAAACCUUCCUACUUCCAAAAGGAGAUGGAGAUUUACGAAAGAAAGCUCCAGUGGUACAUGACUCCACUCAGGACCAUCUUGUCUUACAGCUCCUUAAAGAAGUAAACAAGUUGAAGGCCGAACGACAAGCUGAGAUACCUGAUUGGAACCAACCUAGGCUUGGCCCUCUUACAAUGAGGAUCCUCGACACCCCCUUCAAGCAAAGACAAAACAAAAGCUUGGCUUGCAACUCUAUACUGGAAAGAAUGACCCGAUUGAACACCUUAACCUCUUUGAGUCCACCAUGGCAUACCGGAUGUACACCGAUGAAGAACAAUGUCUUCUCUUCCCCUCCACCCUCUCUGGCAGAGCUCUAAAUUGGUAUUGUCGUCUUCCACCUGAAACAGUAGACUCAUUUAAGAAAUUGAGGAAACAGUUUGUUUCUCAACACAUUUUCCAGACCGAUCGCUUACAUUCUGCUGAUGACUUGUACAUUAUUCGCCAGACGCCAGAGGAGUCAUUACGUAUGUAUGCUGGCCAUUUCAGUCAUGAGAAUUCCCGUUGUGCCGAGGCAGACGACAAGACUGCCCUCAAAACCUUCACGACAGGCCUACGUGACUGUUUCUUUAAGUACAUAAUCAAUGCCAACACUUGAAAGACUUAGUAUGAGGUGAUGGCGCAGGCUUAUAACCAUGCCUCCGCCUAGGCAAGGACAUACCAAGAGAAACCUUCAACAACCAUCCCCUAUCAGAAAGUUGGGAGUGGAAGCCAGACUCACCCAAAUGAGAAGACCUCAACCUUCCAAACGGCAGCGGUGCCUCCCCCUGCCUUACUUAAUACUUCACCAAGUCAACAGACAUAUCAAUCUCAAGGCAAAAGGAAAGAUUUCCACCAUUCGUACACUCUCUUUUGACCAGGCAUCCCUCUCCAACAUGGGGAGUGAAGGAAGCCACAACACACAGAACGACACCCCCCUCGCACCUGGUGCGAAGCAACAAAAGAAUAAACAAAAAAAGUUUGCUCUUCAGGCUAAAGUCGAUGAGCUAGAGGCUUAGAACAACAGGAUAGCGAUGAAGAAUGAGAUCCUCCAAGAGCAGUAUGAGAAGGUCUUCGAGAUGCUCCACAAGGCUAGAUAUACUAAAACACACAAGCUUAUCACCUCUGUGGAAGUCAACCAUCAACUGGGUGCCCCCUAACACGAAGGGUCAUUUGCCCUCGACAUGGGUAUUCCUGUUGAGGAGCGAACUACUCAUUGAAAUGGCGACCAACAUGAGACUUCUCUCAACCCAGCUGUUUCGACCCGAAGCAGGAGGAGUAGAAAAAGGCACCUCCUUACAGAAUGAGUGGAAUGAUCGAAAGCCGUCUUUCGUAACUGUUGAGACUUCCUAAAGUAACGUCGAGACAAUCUCAUCCAUGUAAGCUCGAAGAUCAAUGACCUAAGGGUCUCUGAAAGACUCGGUCCCCUCCCAUGUCCCAGGCCGACUACCAAUUUGGGGAAGAGGCAACAAGUCCUAGAGAAACACGAAGGUAUAUGAGACUCAGAGAUGUUCCGACAGACAUACCUUGGAAGUCAGUAUGGCUAGUCCAGGGAAAAAUCACAUGUUCUUGAUCAAACAUUCCUACUUCCAAGAGGAGAUGGAGAUUUACGAAAGAAAGCUCCAGUGGUACAUGACUCCACUCAGGACCCUCUUGUCCUACAGCUCCUUAAAGAAGUAAACAAGUUGAAGGCCGAACGACAAGCUGAGAUACUUGAUUGGAACCAACCUAGGCCUGGCCCUCUUACAAGGAGGAUCCUCGACACCCCCUUCAAGCAAAGACAAAACAAAAGCUUGGCUUGCAACUCUAUACUGGAAAGGAGGACCCGAUUGAACACCUUAACCUCUUUGAGUCCACCAUGGCAUACCGGAUGCACACCGACGAAGAGCAAUGUCUUCUCUUCCCCUCCACCCUCUCUGGCAAAGCUCUAAAUUGGUAUUGUUGUCUUCCACCUGAAACGGUAGACUCAUUUAAGGAAUUGAGGAAACAGUUUAUUUCUCAACACAUUUUCCAGACAGAUCACUUGCACUCUGCGGAUGACUUGUACACUAUUCGCCAGAAGCCAGACGAGUCAUUAGUAUGUAUGCUGGCCGCUUUAGCCAUGAGAAUUCCCGUUGUGCCGAGGCAGAUGACAAGACUGCCCUCAAAACCUUCACGACAAGCCUACGUGACUAUUUCUUUAAGUACAUAAUCAAUGCCAACACUUGGAAGACUUACUCUGAGGUGAUGGUGCAGGCUUAUAACCAUGCCUCCGCCGAGGCAAGGACAUACCAAGAGAAACCUCCAACAACCAUCCCCUAUCAGCAAGUUGGGAGUGGAAGCCAGACCCACCCAAAUAAGAAGACCUCAACCUUCCAAACGGCAGCGGUGCCUCCCCCUGCCUUACUUAAUACUUCACCAAGUCAACAGACAUAUCAAUCUCAGGGCAAAAGGAAAGAUUUCCAUCCUCACCAAUCUCAUUUUAGUAAAAUGAGUAAGGGACACUAUCGCGAUAACCAAAGGUAUCGUCACGAUAAUGCCCGCCCCCAGGUAUUCAACAUAGUGGGCCAAGCACGUGUCAAGACAAGCCUUACCCCGAGGUAUGAGACAUACACACCUUUGAACGCCACAUGCGUGGCCAUUUACCCCAGCAUAGCACACCUGAUACUGAAGCCAAUGCCGAGGUAGUCAGGUUACAAGCUCACGUAGAACACGGGCAUAUUUUGCUGCUACCACGAGCAUAAUGGCCAUGACGACGAGAAGUGUAUCACCCUUCGUGAUCAUAUUGAAGUUUUGGCACGUGAAAGAAAAAUUGAUCAAUUCCUUCUUCACCCUUCAAGGGAUAACCGUAACCAACGCCAAGUGAAUGUGAUCAAUUCCAUAAGCGGCGGCACACCAAUAUCUGAAUCUUUCUACAGGGCCAUGAAAAACAGCGAACAAGCUUUAAGGCCUGGUCACCAAGUGUUUCAUGUGGAAGACAUCAGGGGAGGCAAGUACUAAAAGCCUAACUGGGAUCCAAUAUGUUUCUACCCUGAGGAAGAAAGAGGUAUCAUCUACCCUUACAACAAUCCACUAAUCCUAGAAGCUCACAUAUCCAACUUUGAAGUACGAUGAAUCCUGGUAGACAUAAGGGCUUCAGUCAAUAUCAUGUUUGCUGAAGCUUUCAGGGCACUUAAUGUAGCUGAACACUUGCUCGAUCGCUCAAUUUCUCAUCUAAUAAGUUUCUCCGGUGAUAUCGUGCAACCUUUAGGGUGCAUACACUUACCUUUCACCAUUGGUACAGGCCUUUACACAGCUACCAUUACCACUAACUACCUGGUGGUUGAUUGCCCAAUGGCAUACAAAGUCAUCUUUGUACAUACAGACAUCAAUGAUCUCAAGGCCAUAGUAUCCACACAUAUGUUGUUGAUAAAAUUUCCAACCCUCUAUGGCAAUGGUUACAUCAGAGGAGAUCAACUUAGUGCACAGUCAUGUUACAACACUUUAAUCAAGCAACAACACUUGCAUGUGCCCAAGGAAACCCUUUAUAUACAUGACCAAGUCAUAAAGACUAGCCCAGACAAAGCCAACUUGGAUCUUCAUGGUGGCAACAGUCAACCCGACGAUCUUUGAGAUGACUCUUUCACCCAACAAGCACAACCCGCUGAAGAGUUGGAGAAGGUUUCUAUCUCAAAAGAUUAUCCAGAUCGCAUGGUAAAGAUUGGCACCACCUUGUCACCACCCAUUCGGUUGGCAUUGAUCUCUUUUUUACAAGAGAACAUUGAGGUCUUUACCUGGUCAUACGAGGACAUGCCAGGCAUCUGUCCCGAUAUUAUAUGUCAUCAUUUGAGUAUUGACCCUAAUACCAAGCCAGUGAGACAGAAGCGAAGAUCUUAUGACGUUGAACGAUACGAAGCGAUGAAAACAGAAGUUGAAAAACUCAAAGGCAUAGCCUUCAUCCGCGAAGUCAAUUACCCAACAUGGGUAGCAAAUGUGGUCAUUGUUAAGAAAAAUCCGACCAAGGAAAGUCUCCUGCUCCCAAAUGAUAGCUUUCCUCUUCCUCUCAUUGACAGACUUAUAGACUCUACAGCAGGUUGUGAACUUCUGAGCUUUAUGGAUGCUUACUCAGGAUACAACCAAAUCCUCAUGAAACCUCCGAACCAAGAACACACAACCUUCACUACUGACAGGGGACUAUAUUGCUAUAAAGUCAUGCCCUUCGGCCUAAAAAAUGCAGUAGCGACUUAUCAAAGACUAGUCAAUUCAAUGUUUGCCAACAGAUUAGGAAGAGCAUAGAAGUUUACGUUGAUGAUAUGUUAGUCAAGAGCAAACAUGCUGACCAACACAUCACCAACCUAUCUGAAACUUUCACCAUUCUGAAGAGGUAUCGAAUGAGGUUGAACCCCAACAAAUGUGCCUUCGGCAUAGGCUCUGGCAAAUUCUUAGGCUUCAUAAUAAGCCAACGAGGCAUUGAGGCUAAUCCUGAGAAGAUCAAAGUAAUCCUCAACAUGAAGGAACCGAUAACUUCAAAAGACAUCCAAAGCCUUACUGUCAAGGUGGCAGCCUUAAUUAGGUUCAUCUCUAAGGCCACAAACAGAUGUGCUCCUUUCUUCAAAGUACUUAAGGGAAGUAAAAAGUACAUUACAUGGACUGAUGAAUGUGCCGAGGCAUUCAAGAACCUCAAGGACUACAUGAGUAAAGUUCAUCUGCUCUCCAAACCUGAGGUUGGUGACAUUCUCAUUAUCUAUCUAUCGGUAUCGGCUUCAACAGUAAGUUCCGUUCUCAUUCAAAAUGAUGGUAAUGUCAAACGGCCUGUAUACUACGCUAGCAAGGCCUUACAAGAUGCGAAGAUACGAUACUCCAACAUUGAGAAAUUGGCUCUAGCAUUGGUCAUGUCUGCUCGAAAACUUCGCCCUUACUUCCAAGAACACUCCAUCAUCGUGCUUACAAUCAUCAUCUUCGACAGAUACUCUAAAGUCCUGACACUUCAGGGUGAAUGAUCAAAUGGGCGGCGAUAACAUUGGGUGAGUUUGACAUCUCAUACCAACCAAAGCCAGCUGAGAAGGGCCAAGCAGUGGCAGACUUCAUCACCAACUUCACAUAUCCUAUUGACAUUAUUUCUACGCCUAAAAAAGUGGUUUCAUUACCCUCUGAAGCUCAGAGAAUAGAACCAACAGCCCCAGCAUGGAGUCUAUAUGUUAAUGGCUCGUCCAACCAACAGGGUUGUGAAGCAAGACUAGUCCUUACGACCCCUGACAAAGUGGCAAUGGAGUAUGCUCUUCGUUUCAAAAUCAAGGCAUCGAACAAUGAGGCCGAAUAUGAAGCCCUCCUAGCAGGCUUACGUUUGGCCAAACACCUUGGGGUUAAACAAAUUGAUAUCUUCAAUGACUUCCAAUUGGUGAUUAACCAGGUCACCAACAACCUUGACACUAAAGAUAGCUUCGUGGCAGCAUAUCUGGCACAAACACAAUUGUUGCUCAAGCACUUCCACUACCAGAUCACCCAAAUUCCUCGAGCGGCAAACAGUCAUGUAGACGUUUUGGCUCGCCUCGCCUCAGUAGUGGAAGACAAAAUUGGGAGAAAAAAUUCAGGUCGAAUUGUUGGCAGCACCAAGCAUCAUGGCCACAGAAGUGUGCAACUUACAACAGGGGGAUAGUUGGAUUACCCCGGUUUAUAAAUUCAUUGUGCAUGGCACCCUCCCAAAUGAUAAAGUUCAAACUAAGCAGAUUCGAUACAAAGCUACCCAUUACUUGAUCAUUAAUGACCAACUCUACAAACGGGGUUUUAACCUACCAUACCUAAGAUGCCUUACGCCCGCGGAGGCGGAAAUUGUCCUUCGGGAAAUACAUGAAGGAAUCUGUGAAGAUCAUGCUGGAUCUCGAUCCCUAGCACACAAGGUUGUUCGCCAAGGAUAUUACUGGCCAACACUCCACCAAGAUGCCAUCAUAAUAUCUCGCUCAUGUGAUAAAUGCCAACGCUACGCAACUAUUCCUCAUUCCUCUCUUGAGCCGCUCACUCCUAUGAUCAGCCCUUGGCCCUUCGCCCAAUAGGGACCUGAUUUAAUUAGCCCAAUGCCUACAGGGAAGGGCAAGGUCCGCUAUGCAAUCGUUGCAAUUGACUACUUCACAAAGUGGGCCGAAGUAGAACCUUGGCAACCAUUAUUGAGACAAAAAUAGAAGACUUCGUAUGAAAAAACAUCCUUUGCAGAUUCAGCAUUCCCAAUGCGAUAGCCACUGAUAACGGGCGAUAGUUCAACAACAAUAAGUUCAGGAUGUUCUGCUCUAAGUUCAACAUCAACUUAUGUUUCGCCUCCCCAGCUCAUCCCCAGUCUAAUGGAAAAAUUGAAGCCAUCAACAAAAUAAUCAAGUGUACUUUAAAAACCAGCUUGGACAAGGCUAAAGGUUGUUGGCCAGAAUUUGUACCCCAAGUUCUUUGGUCAUACCGCACUUCAUAUCGGACUUCAACAGGAGAAACUUCAUUCUCACUUACUUUUGGUACAAAGGCAGUUGUCCCAGUUGAGCUUGAGCAAGCAACGUUCCGAGUCCAAAACUACGUGUUAAGCGAAAAUGACAAACAACUUACCCUCAACUUAGAUUUAGUCGAGGAACACAGAAACCAGGCUCACUUGAGGAAUGUCGCUUACAAGCAAUGCAUCUCCAACUAAUAUGACUCAAGGGUCAAACCUCGUUCUUUCAAAAUGGGGGACUAGGACUGGGUAUUGAAGAAAAGAUUACUCUGCAACAGAGUCCCGAGUGAAGUAACACUUAAUCCAAACUGGGAUAGACCGUUUGAAGUUGUUGGCAUCAGUCGCUCUGGCUCCUACAAGCUUAAAAGCACCGAUGGCAAGACCCUUGGCCAUUCAUGGAACGCUGAUCACUUGAAGUACUAUUACAAGUAAACUCACAUUGUACAAGUGUUAAGCUUCAACCGUUCGGCAUCCUAUGUAACGAAUACCAUUUGGCAUGAAUUCAAUAAAGUGGUGAUUUAGACAACUCGGUCUUAAUCCUCUUACAUUCCUAGCAAUGAAACACUCGGGUUCAAAGCUUCAACAUGAAUGCUUCCAACAUGAAACAAAGUCUAAGUAUAUGUCAACAAGACUAUACAAAUAAACGAAUAGCUUCACAGUAUAUUCGUUCAAUCAUACAUUCCAACACAUUCAUACAUAAGCCAACUGUGCUUCAAAAGGGUUCAAAAUACUUUGUGUCAUUCAGCACUUGCUACAAUGUGCCUCGGCACCUUGCCCUUAUUCUCACCAACUAGGUGAUAAAGGAACUUACCUUCGUACCACCAACCAAGUGAUGAAAUGCACAACCCGUACUUUAAUAUUAUUUGGCAACUUGCCACUCUUAUCACCAACUAGGUGAAGAAGGAACUGAUCUUUGUGCCACCAACCAGGUGAUGAAAUGUGAUGAAGGAACUCACCUUCAUACCACCAACCAAGUGAUGAAAUGUGAUGAAGGAACUCACCUUCAUACCACCAACCAGGUGAUGAAAGCAACUCACCAUUCAUUCCAUCAUCUAGAAGACGAGUGGUAUAACUUGUACAUGUAAACUCUUAGCAUUCACAAAUAAUCAAAAACCCUCAAGCUUUACAACUCAACUAGGGGAGCACUUAUACCCAACAAGAGUUAUAGUUACCAACAAAGUCUUAUUGCAAGCCAACAACAACUUCAGUGCAUGGUAUACGAAGAUCAAACUAUUCAGCCCUCUUGCAUCUGCUUCAAACAUUUCUCCUCUGUAACAAUGCAAACACUACAACUCAUAGAAAGCUUCACACACUCUUCAUCAAGACUGCUAGAAGCAAAUUCAAUUUAUAUUGUUCACCCAAACCUUCGACUACUACAAGGUGUGGCUUGUAUAUGUUGUCUCUCCUACAUUUUCAAAUUUCCAGUUUUCCCAAAAAUAAAAUAAAAAAUCGAAAAAGGGAAAUUGGGAAAUUCAACAAAGCUUCAUCAAUGAAGGACAACUAUAAACUCUCAAAAGCUUCACACACUCUUGAUCAAGAUAGUGUGAAGCAAAACCAAUUUCUGGUGCCAACAAGAGCUUCAUCAAUGGAGGGCAACCAUAAUUCUCAAAAGCUUCACACACUCUUGAUCAAGACAGUGUGAAGCAAAACCAAUUUAUGGUGCCAACAAGAGCUUCAUCAAAUGAGUUCAACCACAAUUCUCAAAAGCUUCACACACUUUUGAUCAAGACAGUGUGAAGCAAAACCAAUUUAUGAUGCCAACAAGAGCUUCAUCAACGGAGUUCAACCAAAAUUCUCAAAAACUUCACAUUCUUGAUCAAGACAGUGUGAAACAAAACCAAUUUAUGGUGUCAACAAGGGCUUCAUCAAUGGAGGGCAACCACAAUUCUCAAAAACUUCACACACUCUUGAUCAAGACAGUAUGAAGCAAAACCAAUUUAUGGUGCCAACAAGAGCUUCAUCAAUGGAGGGUAACCACAAUUCUCAAAAGCUUCACACACUCUUGAUCAAGACAGUGUGAAGCAAAACCAAUUUAUGGUGCCAACAAGAGCUUCAUCAAAGGAGUUCAACCACAAUUCUCAAAAGCUUCACACACUCUUGAUCAAGACAGUGUGAAUCAAAACGAAUUUAUGGUGCCGACUAAACCUUCAUCAAUAGAGGGCAACUACAAUUCUCAAAAGCUUCACACACUCUUGAUCAAGACAGUGUGAAGCAAAAUCAAUUUAUGGUGCCAACAUAAGCUUCAACACCAAAGUUUCACCUACAAAUCUUUAACUCCAAAGCUUCAACUCCAAAGCUUCACCUACAAAAGCUUCAACUCCAAGCUUUGAGCUUCAACUUCAAAGUUUCACCUACAAAAGCUUCAACUCCAAGCUUUAACUCCAAGCUUUGAGCUUCAACGUCAAAGCUUCACCUACAAAAGUCUCAACUCCAAAGCUUCACCUACAAAAGCUUCUUCAACUCCAAAGCUUCACCUACAAAAGCUUCAACUCCAAAGUUUCACCUAUAAAAGCUUCAACUCCAAAGCUUCACCUACAAAAGUUUCAACUCCAAUACUUCACCUACAAAGCUUCAACACCAAAGCUUACAAAGGCUUCACCUACAAAGCUUCAACCCAAAAGCUUCACCUACAAAAGCUUCAACACAAAAGCUUCAUCUACAAAAGCUUCACACACUCUUAAUUAAGAUAGUGUGAAGCAAAAUCAAUUCAUGGUACCCAACAAAGCUUCAACCUCAAAGCUUCACCUACAAAGCUUCAACACCAAAACUUCACCUACAAAGCUUCACAUAUAAAGUUUAUAAUAUAUAUAUAUAUAUAUAUAUAUAUAUAUAUAUUCGAAAAUUCAAAAAAAAAUUGAAAAUUAAAAAAAAAAAAUUGCAUAGGCCUCCUCUUCUUUGGGCCUAACAACUUUCAUAACAAAUAUAUAUGAAAGGGGAGUUUUGGGCUACCACUUAGAAAGGAAAAUGGUGAAAUUUUGUUACUUUGGAAACUUGGCUACUAGCAAGACACCUCUUUCGUCAACUUCCUCGACCGGAGACUUGGGGGACUCCUACCAUAUGCUAUUGCACCUUGAUAUUCGAAAGUCUCACGACCAUUCAAUGACUUGGAUUUUUCAAGUCUCCAACCGAGAAGUUUUCCUCACUUGGGAAAUUAAGGGAGCACUACCUCAACCUACAUGCUUCACUCACAAAACUUCAACAUACAAGCUUCAACAAAAGAAAAAAUUCAAAGAACUUAGUGAAGAAGACUUUGGUGUAUUUAACACAAUACGUUGAAAUGAAGCAAAGCUUAUUUAUUGAUAUCUCUGAGAAGUUACAAAUAUGUACAUAUACAUGAAUCAAAAUAAACAAAUAAGAAGGAGCCUUCACAAAGGUUGCUCAAGAGAAGUCUCAGCAGUCGGCAGAGCCCCAGAAAGAGAAGGCACCGGAGGGUGAUCAUUCAGAGCCUCAGUACUGGGCAGAACCCCAGAAGGAGGAGGCACUGGAGGUUGAUCAUUUGGAGCUUCAUUACGCGGUAUAGCCCCAGAAGACGAAGGCAAUAAAUGCCUUUGGAACAAACCACAAACCUCUGAUAAUUAAGUAAAAUCUGACCAUCAGAUUCCUGUAGCUGGUCAAGCUUCAUCUUCAUGUUUGUAGCAUAGUCAUGUGCGAGCCUGUGCAACUGUUUAUUCACAUGCUAUAACCCUCUGAUCUCCUGUUUGAGACUUAUCGCUUCAGUCGCCAAUGACUCAACUUGGCGGGUUCGAGCAAAUAGGCGUUGGGUCAUAUUAGACACAGAACCUGCACAUUGAACACUAAGAGCCAGACUUCCAACAGGAUUACUUGCUCAAAAAUCGAAAAGGCACCGGUCUCCAAAUCUCGAGAGCUAGACUCCUACUAGGAUUGCUUUCUCAAAAAUCGAAGAGGCACCGCUAUCCGAAUCUCGAGAGCCAGACUCCCAACAGGAUUGCUUACUCAAAAAUCGAAGAGGCAUCCACUCUCCGAAUCUCGAGAGUCAUACUCCUAACAGGAUUACUUGCUCAAAAAUGGAAGAGGCACCGCUCUCCAAAUCUCGAGAACCAGACUCCCACCAGGAUUGCUUUCUCACAAAUCGAAGAGGCACCGUUAUCCGAAUCUCGAGAGCCAGACUCCCAACAGGAUUACUUUCUCAAAAAUUGAAAAGGCACCGCUCUCCGAAUCUCGAAAGCCAAACUCCCAACAUGAUUGCUUUCUCAAAAAUCGAAGAGGCACCGUUCUCCGAAUCUCGAGAGCUAUAUCCCCGAUAGGAUUGCUUGUUUGAAAACCGAAAAGGCAUCACUCUCCGAACUUCGAGACCCAUAUUUCCUUGGAUAAAGCUUGUCUGCAAUCUUCACACGCAACAUCAGCUUUCCAGAUACCACAGACCACUUUUUCAAAGUGCUGUGACAAAGUUAAAACACGUGAAUCUUGCAGCUCCCACUACAUUGCUAUGAUCGAGAAGGGUAAAGGAAUAUCGUUACUACUCACUGUUGGGACAAUUCCUAUAUAUGUCGACCUUCAUCCUCCACAGCCAGGCAAACCUGCAAAUAAAAAAUAUGCUCAACUUUUCUUCACAUCCGAGAGAGCACUCUCAGCAGCGUCUCUUGAAAUACUUAGCUUAUUUUCCCCCGAUAAUACCUCUGCAAACAAGCCAUACCAGAGCAAGUGUGUCUCAUAUCAUCAGCGUUAAAAGUAAGAGUAUCUCAUAUCAUGCUUUUUCCCUGUCUUUUCCUUCGCCCUUGUUCUUACCUGUAAGACAAUGAAAAAGAGAGCAAUCAGUCAGCACUUUGAAUCAAGCUUCCAGUCAGGAACUGACUGCCUGGAACCCCUUGCCUGAUUACUUACCUGGCAUUGCUCUUGAGUACUCAUCUUCAAUAUCUUGUGCUUCCAGAGAAGAUACCACAUCUGCCUAAGGAACAUAUAGGGCAAGUGAGAAUGAUACAAGGAAGCAUGUGGAGACAAGCGCAACAGAACACGUACCGAUUUAUCUAUUGCAUUGUCAACAGCAAAAGUAUCUCAUAUCAUCAAGUUCGAACACACUCUUGAUUUGAUGAACUUGUAUUGACCCUCAAAUUCUUGAGUUGACCUUAUACUCUGGAGGAAACCAGAAAACCCUCCAACCUAGUUCAAGAAUAAGUCUGUGGAAAGUUACUUCUUCAAAAGCAAAAGUACAUCAUAUCAUCUAUUCUCCAUGUCCUUUUCUUUGUCCUUGUUGAUGUCUACAGAACAAAGAGAAUGAGAACAAUCAGCCGGAACACGAGAUCAAACUUUCGAUCUGAGACUGACUGCUUGGAACUCUGAUUGCUUACUUUGUCUGUCACCUCUUUCGGCAGAUCUCCUCGCUCAGAGACUUGGGGGACUCCUACUAUAGGGUUUGUAUUGCACUUGACCAAGCCCAAAAGUACAAGUAAGCUUCAAGUGAAAUUGAUACAUUACCUUGUGCAUCUCCAUCGGUUAAAGAUAUCACCCCUAGAUGGAGGAAAAGUACUUCCAGAGAAGAUGCCACAUCUACUAUGAGACAGAUAAGGCAAGUGAAAAUGAUACCACACUUCGGUACUUAAAAGUUUCGUAAUUACUCAGCGGCUCGGAUCUCGCAAGUCCCCAACCGAGGAGCUUCCCUCACUCGGGAACUUAGGGGAGCAUUGAUUGUACCAUACUUGACCAAUCUCGAAACUACUAAGCACCGAUCAACGUGAUACCGUCAAGGACCCAGAAGAGUUUCCCUCCAACCAGGAGGCCAAUCACAGUGCGACACGUGUCAACAUCAAAAGCCAAUCACAACACGACAAGUGUCAAUUCAGAACAAAGCUAGAAACUCUCUUCUAUAAAAGGAAAUCAUUCUCCCACAAUAUUUCCUGAUGUCAUUUGUACUAAAUCAUUCACUAGUACUCACUAAAAGAGAGCUUGAACCUAUGUACUUGUGUAAACCCUUCAUAAUUAAUGAGAACUCCUCUACUCUGUGGACGUAGCCAAUCUGAGUGAACCACGUACAUCUUGUGUUUUGCUUUCCUGUCUCUAUCCAUUUACAUACUUACCCACAUUAGUGACCGGAGCAAUCUAGUGAAGGUCACAAACUUGACACUUUCUGUUGUACCAAAGUCCUCGCCGAUUUUGUGCAUCAACAAGUUUCAUGGCAACUUUAUACUGAAAUUGGAAAGCUUAACGCCCUCAAGGUAUUCAACCAAUUACUAGCUGGAAGAUGCCUUACCCUAAAAAACCGUGCACGAAAAAACUAGCUGCCGUUGAAGACGUAGUAAAAAAAUCUCAAAAUUUCUUCAAUAGAAAAGCUUAAUUAAGAGCUUGAAAUUUCUUCACACUAAAAAAAGUAGCCCCGAAUUAAGAUGCCUUAAUUAAGAUGUUUAAUUGCAAUGUAGUUGAAGAAUCAUAUCCUAUAAUUAGUAAUUAAUUAAGCUGCUUCUAGUUUUAGAACAUGAAUUACCACCACUAUGUAUGGCCCCAGGUUAGUUCAUUGUCAAUUACCACUUCUUUAACAUGUUGUUCUCCAUGCUUCCUCUCCAAGUCAGUACGUACUCAAAUUGUUUCUUCCAAGCAAACCUAGUUGCUGCAGCCACCAGCACCCUGAUCAACGCCAAGUCCACCACCGCGACAACGCCUAUAAUUUGUUUAAACUUUAUGGCAUGACUUGUGGGAAUCCUCGCAAUAAUAAUUUUAAAGAAUUCUUCACAUCAUAGCACGGAAUUCCAGCUCAACUCUAUCUCGAAGUGACGGAGCCAAGGACAAGGUUCCCUAUAGGAUAUAGCAUAGGGAGAGUUUUGGAUUUUUAAGUUUAAAAAUAGUAAUCUUUUGGGCUAUUUAAUGAUUUUUAACAGUCAUUUUCCACUUAGUAAAUGUAAAUUGAAUCUUAAAGAUGUUUUUAAGGAAAAUAAGAGCCACUAAAUGUUAAAUACUCAUCAUUUUAACUAAUAUUAUAAUUUAGUAACAAUUUAAAACUUUCAUACUACAAAUGAUUCCUUAUUUUAUUCACUUAAAAGUUUUGAAGACUACAAGCCUAGAAAACAUAGUAUAUAUUUCUUACUUCAAAGAGUAAAUUACAUUUUACCACCUCAGGUUUGACUGUUUGAGGUCUAUUGCAACCUCAUACAAUAACUUCAAAACAUUUCACUUUCAUACCUCAAGUACUAUUUUAUUUUAAUAUAAUAGAUCCGUUACAUUUUUCAUCCAUUGAUCCGUUAAGAGCUCACGUGGCUGCCAAAUUUAUGUCACGUGGCAAAAAAUAAUUUUUUAUACAUUAAAAAUAUUAUAAUAAUUUACCCUACUAAAAAAAAUAAACUGAAAACCCAAAAACCCAUUCCCCUUGACCACCUCCUUCUCCUUCCUCUCUUCAAACCCUCCACCACCAAAACCCUCAAAAAACCCUAUUCCCACCGCAACCAUCUUCGUCUUCUUCCUCUCCGACUCUGCUCAUCGUUUACUGGGCAUUCCCAUUUGGGUAAUGAAAAUGCCCGAUUACGAUUAUGGGAGGAAAGAGAGAAAGUGUGGGAACGAAGCCCCAUGCUACUGGGUUGGGGAGUGAAAGAGAGGUCGGGGGGGGGGGGGGGCACGUGGGUUUGCGGGGGAGGUGGGGAUGGGGUGGGAUUGGGGGUUUGGGUUGCGAGGAAGGGGAAGGUGUCGGGGAAGGAUUUCUAGGUUUAUUUAUUUAUUUAUUUAUUAUUAUUAUUUAAAUAGGGUAAAUUAUUAUAAUAUUUUAAAUGUAUAUAAUAAUAAAAAAAUUGCCACGUGGCACAAAUGUGGCAUCCACAUCAGCUCUUAACGGACCAAUGGAUGGAAAAUGUAAUGCAUGUAUUAUAUUGAAAUAAAAUAGUACAUGGGGUAUGAAAAUGAAAUUUUUUGAAGAUGUUGUAUGAGGUUGCAAUAAACCUCAAACAUGAGGUGAUAAAGUGUAAUUUAAACUACUUGAAAUUAUUACUUUCAGAUUUACUAUUAUAUAACUUUAUUUAUGUAACAAAAAGAUUAUUGACAAAAAAAAAACAAAAAGAUUAAAAGUUUAAUUAACUUUGCCCACCCACGUCCGAAAUUCUUGGCUACGGCAUUGCCAUCUCAAUUGUUCCCUUUAUAGUCUACUCUUCACUGAUCGCGAAUUGGUACAUCACUUUACUUGCUAGAAACAAUUACAAAGACGAGCAUCUACUAUUACGUACUCAGGCAAGUAUCGGUUUUCUAUCACAAGGAGUUUCUCUCCAUGACUAACGUUGUCGCUAACGGUUGUACCAAGAUCCUAUUCAUCUGAAGAAUGAGAAGCAAGUGCGUGCCAGUGCUUCUGCCUCGUUGAUGUUAAUUUGUCAAGGAUUGAAUUGUAGCUGUGGUUAGGAAUGGACAACGCUUAUGGCAGGCGGGUAACCGUGGUUAUUUACCCAUAACCGUUUACCCGUUGGAUAAUUGCAUAAGCAGUUAUACUUAUAAACGGUUAUCCAUACCCAUAACCGUGUACCCAUUUAAGCAUAAUCAUUUACCCAUUUAACCAUAAUCAUUUACCCAUUUACCCGUUUAUCCUUUUUUUACUCAUAUACCCCUUUUUUCACACGUCUACAUGUUUUUUUUUAACAACUUGAAAAUUACAAAAGAAAAAAAUUGCCAUAAUUUUCGUUUUCUGACAAUUAAACACCGUUAUAGGUACAUUUUAGCAUGCAUUUUCCUAUUUUAAUCAUUUAAAUCCUCAUACAAUUUCAAUAAAUUGAAAUAAUAGUUUACGAACAAUAUUUUUCUUCUACAUCCAAGCAAGUCUUUAAUUAUAAUCCAUAUGAUUACAAAGUAAAGCUUCUAAAAACAAAAAGUAGUCAUUAUCUUGAAUACUAGAUGAUUCAAAGCUACAAAAUAUUCUGAAACUAAACACUUUCGAACACAUUCAAUGACAAAGUAUCAUCGACUCGUUAUAACAGCGGGUAAUACUCAUAUAACUGUAUAACCUAACAGUAAAUGUUUUGAUGUAUUAAAAGCCCUAUGUAUCAUCGACUCGUUAUAACAGCGGGUAAUACUCAUAUAACUGUAUAACCUAACAGUAAAUGUUUUGAUGUAUUAAAAGCCCUAUAAAAAAAACUCACGGACUGAAUUAAAAGCCCAACUAAUAGUAAAUGUUUUUUUUUUCCAAAUUUACACCUGACAGAACCUAACCAAGCCAGUUCACUGUCUUUGCCUUUUUCUGUCGCAUAUGGGGCUUUUGGUGUUGCGGUUGCCUCCUUUUCCACACCCACCACUGUCAGUUACCUUUUUUUUAAAAAAAAAUAUUUUUUUUGUUGUUGUUUGUCAAGGGUACAUUUGGAAAAAAAGCAUUUACACUAUAAAGUCCUUUUUUUUUAUUUACAUAUAUUAAAUUAAAUGGGUAAAUAGAUACCCGUAUAAUCGCAGGUAAUACCCAUAAUCGGUGGAUACCCGUUAUAACCGUGGAUAAUACCCAUAACCACCCAUUUAAAUUUCACAGAUAAACGGUUAUACCCAUAACCGUUUAUUCGUCUAAACGGUUACCCAUAACUGUAACCGUGAACUUUAAAUGGGCUGGUAACCGCGGUUACCCAAACCCAUAGGUAUUUUGCCCAUCCCUAGUUGUGGUUGAGGAUUUGAGGGACGAAAUUGUGGGGUUCAAAUGUGGCAAUGCAGGGUGGUUUUAGGGUCGAAAGAGGAUCGCAUUCCGUGAGUAGGCUUGUAGACGUUGAAAUUUCAGUAAAAUAAAUGCUCACCAACACCUUAAAUUUUGACAUGCAUGGGCUUACGUGGCAUGCACCGUUGGUCUCACAUAUUGUACACAUUACAUGUGACUCAUCAAAACUAGACGAGUCAUUAAGGAAAGUAAUUAAGGAAUUAUCUUUAUUAAUUAUUUAAUUAAUUUUAAUUUAAAUCAAAACAAAUUAAUUGAUUUAAAAUGUCAACCAAACCCAAAAUCAAGUCUUGUGUUCUUUCGUCAAUGAAUCAAGUCCACAAUCAAUGUCAAAUCUAGUCGUAGGCAAAGACUUGGAGAACCUAUAAAUACGCGACUUCAAGACAAAUAAAAGGGUCAGAAAUACAUCCAAACACACAGAUGCUCAAACUCCCAAAUUACCAAACACUCAGAAAGCUCUUGCAUUCUUCGCCACACUUGUGAAGCACCCCUACACAUGUCCAUUCUUCCAUCACCACUAGCCAAACCCUUCCGGCAUCCGUUCAUUCAAGAUCAAGUUAUCGUGAUCCUCGGAUCAAAAACACCCCCAUUUUUCACUCCGAAGAUUGAAUAUGUGGAUUCAAGUUUUGUAAAGAGAUUGUAACUUUAAAUUUAUUAACACAAAUUAUUACUUUGUACUCAUAUUCUUGUGUUAUUUGUUGCAGGAAUCUCGUGUUUACAAAGCAAUUGAGGGUUGAUUGUGAUUUUGUCAGCCUUGAGAAUGGAACUGACGGGGCAUUGUUUGGUGGAUCAAGUAAAUGUGAUGUUGAGGGUAAUUAAAAAUGAUCGUUCAUUUUUAUGUAUUUGCUUCAAACUAUACUCGUGCUACCUUUAUAUAUGUAUUCUUUUGACUUGCGAUGUAGCUCACUUGACUAAAAGCAUUUAUUCACACUAGUAAAAAAAAAUCCCUUGUGCAACGAAGCACACAUUAUCGCGCAAAGUUACUUUGUGUGACGAAAUUUUAAACUUCGUUGAGCAAAGUCCUGCACGAUGAAAUUUUAUGCGACGAAACACACAUCGUCAUGCAAAGUCACUUUGUUCGACGAAAAUUUAAACUUCAUCAAGCAAAGUCUUUACAAAAAUAAAUAAAAUAAAAUAAAAUUUUAAACUUUUACGUGACGAAAUCUAAAUAUUUCGUCGCCUAAACCCAAUUUAUUUUCUUUUUAUUUAACUUUAUAUUUUAAAUUGUAAAAUAAAUUAUUUUUAUAGUUUUUUUUUUUUUUAACUUUGUGCGACGAAUAUUAAUGUUUCGUCGCCUAAAUCCUAUUUAUUUUAUUUUUAUAUUUUAUAUUGUUAACCUAAAUUAUUUUCUUUACUUUUUAUCAUUUUCUUUGCGUGACGAAUCAACAUUUUGUCGCCUAAACCCUAUUUAUUUUAUUUUAUUUAUAUUUUAAAUUGUAAAAUUAAAAAAAAAAAUUUAAACUUGCGCGACAAAUACUAAUAUUUCAUCACAAAAACCUUGUUUAUUUAAUUUUUAUUUAAUUUUAUAUUUUAAAUAGUCAAAUAAAAUUUAUUUCUAUAAAUUUUGCAUGACGAACCAAUAUUUCGUCACACAAAACCCUAAAAAUUUGGGUGGGCACCAAAAAUGGGGUGCGGGAAUUUUUUUUUUAUAAUUUUUUUAAGACUUUGUGCGACCAAUCUUUCGUCGCGCAAAAUCGUAUCCUUCAUCGCGCACAGUGAUACGGAUUUUAAAACCAAAAUAACUCCUCCAAAAUUUUCUCAAUGUAUCUCUCUAGUUCUCUUACCUCUUCUCUCUUUCCCUCACCCCAAAUCCGACCCCCUCUCUCUCUCUCUCUCUCUCUCUCUCUCUCUCUCUCUCACUCUCUCAUUUUUCCCUAUCUCUCACUUACUCCUUUUUCCCUAUCUCUCACUCACUCUCAAUCUUGCCAAAAGGUAUUUUCUCUCUAAACUUUAAUUUAUUUCUCAUUAAUAUGUGUUUUUGGAGUUAAUUUUAGGUUUGGGUGGGGUUUGGGGUCGAGUAUAGGGUGAGGGGUGGAGUUUGGGGUAUGCCGAUUUUAGAGGAGGUUAUGUCCAUUUUUUGGUAUUAUUUUAUGUUGUUCUUUUGGUUAUUUGACCAUUUUUUUUUUGUUGGGAAUCGUCUGGACUUUGACGGUGAAAGUUGAGCAGUUGAGGAUUAUGACGCUAUCAAACCAUAUCCCCCGCCACCACCACCACUACAAUAGACUUGUAUUAGGAUUUUAUUAUUGUAAUUUGUUAAUUUAUAUGUACCUUUUGAAUAAAAUGUAUAUUAUGGAUAAUUUGAUCACUAUUUUUCAUAUGCAAUUUUAUUUUAAAUAUGUCAAUUUAAAUUAAAGUAAUUAAAAAAAAUAAAGCCAUAUAAUUAAAUUAAAUUUAAAAAGUAAAAAUUCAAAACAUCUUGCGCUACCAAAUAUUACGUCACACAAACAAUUACUAUAAUUAAAUUAAUAAUAGAAAUAAUAAAACAAAAAGUCAAUUUAAUUAAACAAAAAAAUAAAAACCAAAAACUUUCGUCACGCAAAAUCUUGCGCUACCAAAUAUUUCAUCACGCAAUAUAUUAAAUUAAUUCAAUUAAAUCAAAAAAUCAAAAACUUUGCGCAACAAAAUGUUUCGUCGCACAAAGUACCAUCACAUGACGAAGAUUAAUUUUCAUCACGCAAACACUAUCUUCACGAGCUUAGCGCAACGAACCAUGCGCGACAAAAAAUUUUUGCGCAAGGUUUUAAGCGACGAAAUCUUACUUUGCGCAACAAAUCUUAUUUCGUCGCGCAAAGUGUUUUUUGUAGUAGUAUCGUACACUCGAAGUCAUAAGUUCUAUUCCCACUUCCCCCAAUAUUUGCUUGCAUAAAAAACUCUUGUAAAAGUCUAAGGUUCUAGUAAAUAAAUGUGACUACUUAAGUGCAUCAGUUAUAAGGAAAUAGCUAUCGUUAGAAGGUCUAAACAAACUAAAAAGUGUCAUAUUCCAACAACUUGGAUGUCCUUGUAAUUUUUAUUUUCGUUUAAAAGAUAAAUGAAAAAGUUCGACAAUCACCCAAUAACACUGUUACACAUUAGACGAAAGUAAAAUUAAUUUUAAUUUAUUUAAAAAUAAAAAAUAAAAAAUAUUAUGUGAUUCAAAAUAUUCUUCUUAACUUGUAAGUGAAAUAUUUUAGAUUCAAAUCCCUUGUAAAAAUUCAUUACUAGCUAGGGAGCUCUAGAGUAAUGAAUACAAGAUUUCUUGUCAUUUUUUCUAUAAGAUAAGUUUGAACAAAAAUCUCAAUCGUCAACCCACACUCAUCUCAUGCCAUUUGAGAAAGUCUCAUGGGUAACUUAUUUACAACGCACGACAAAACCAAAAAACAAAAACAAAAAUUUAUGGGAAAAUUAGGUUCACAUCCUUUUUUUUGUUACUCCAUUGAUUAAGAUUCUAUUCAUUUUCAAUUUUUGAUCAAAGUCCUUGGGUAUUAAUAACAUCAUUAAUUAUUUGAAUGAUAAAAUAUUUUUUAUUUUUAAAUAUAUUCCUUUAGUGUUAAAAAUGUUAUAAUUAGUAUAUUUAUAUUUAUGGCUAAAUUUUUUAUCAUAUUUUUUUUUUUAGUUUGUACCUAUUUUUAAUUUGCAAAUAUUUUUUAAUUUGUACCAAUUUUCUUUUCAUUUUUAAUUUGUACCCAUAUAUUAGUUUCUUUUUGUGCCCAUAUUUUUUAAAGUUUUAUUUGUGUUUGUACCCAUGUGUAAACCGUCACGUAACAUUGUAUAUUUAAUCAAUGAUAGAAACAUUACAUAUGGUAUAUUUAUGUUUUAUGCCUAAACUUUGUAUCAUAUAUUUAUAUUUUUAGUUUGUACCCACUUUUAAUUUGCAACAUUUUUUUUAAAUUUGUAGUAUUUUCUUUUUAGUUUUAUUUUGUACCCAUGUAUUAAUUUCUUUUAGCGCCUAUAUUUUUUAAAAAUUCAUUUGUACUUAUAAUUUUUAAUCUUUUAUCUGUACCCUAAUUUAUUUAUAAUGUACCCAUUCUUCUUUAUUAAUGUACCACUUUGUUAUAUAUGAAAUGUAAAAUGUACCAAUUUUUUUAACACUAUGGAUACAUUCUUUUGCCAUUUAUUAUUUCUUAUUUUUACAUAGUUUUUAUCCAUUUAUUCAAUCAAAAUGUUUGACUUUUUUUAUUGUAACCGUUUCUAAUAGUAUUAUAAUGAGGGAUUUUAAAUUUAUAAGAUUAUAAAUCUCAAAAAAUAUCAAACAAUUAAUGUCAAAACUAUAAAAAUAUUAAUAUUAAUAGUCAUAUAAUGAGGUGUACAAAGUUAAGGGACCUUGAUCAAACUUUGAAUACUAUUAAGGUUUUAAUCAAAGAAUGUUAAGGAUUAGGGGCCGCAUCCAAAGUAUCCCAAAAUUUAUUCACAACGAGUAAUUGGUUUAUUUUCAAGAAGAUGUAGCACAAGCAAGAGGCUGCGCCACGUUGUUGAUGGUGGGCUUGAUAUGUUUACAUUCAGACGUAAUAGAGCCUUCUUUUCCAGUGUAUGUGAGAUCAAUGUUACUCAAUUCCACAUUCUCACAUGGCAGCCCUCCACUGCAUACAAGCUUAAUACCAACUGGGGUUGAAGAUGAACCCUUUAUGUUCUUGAAGCUGACAUUGCUGAUCUUAACUUUGGAUGGAACCUGCAUACAAUGAUACAAUAAUAGUAUUAUUAUAAAGCACUUUUACUGUUAAAUAUUUUAUAUAAAAUUGUUAUUAUAAAUAUGUCGAAGAAGUUAUUACAAAUUCAGUUUUUUUUUUUUUUUUUUUUUUUUUUGAAAAAUGCUAGAAGUGUGUUUGGUUGAUAGAAAAUUUUUAAAACCCUUUCAGAAACAAUCAAACGGUGCACUCAGGUAUUUAUUCAAAAUAGUUGAGAUUGGGGUCAAGAGAUCAAACGGUCGUCGGUUGUAUUCUAUUAUUCAAGAUUAAGUAUUUGACUAAGUAAUAAAGAAAAUAUGAUGUAACUUUGGUACUGUAAAAUAGUAUACCUGAAGUGUGCACUGAUUAUAUGGGCAAUACUCUUGGUCUAUGAUGACAGGGUUUUUAACAUUAUCCAUGAUAAUAUCCUCAAAGUGAACAUCUGAGACAACGCCAUUUGCAGGGGAAGCAGGCCAUGUUUUGAUCCUCACACCAUUAUCUGUAUUUGUAAUUGUGCAGUUCUUGAUAAAUAUUCCAGACACAGGUUCUUCAUUCUCAUACUUUCCGAGGCUCCCGAUGCUUAUGCCGUGGCCUGGUCCACAAGUAACGUUGGUUACAUGGAGUUGCUUGGUGCCAUCACCAAUAGAGAUGCAAUCAUCCCCAGUUCCAAUGGUCGUAUCUGUGAUGUUGAUCCCAGUUGAACGUCCGAUAUGAAUUCCAUCGGUAUUGAUGCUUUCUUUAGGCGCUGAGACGGUAAAAUGUUGGAAUGCCACAUUGUUGCAACCCAAAAGAUUUACGUGGAAAUUUUUGCUGUCUUUUGUUGUUAUGUCUCGAAUUAUGGAAUUGGUGACAAAAUUGAAUCUCAGAUUCUGCGAAUAGUGUGAAAAAGUUAAAACAUAUACAAACAAGACGAGUAAUAUUUCUUGCCAAAGUUAUGUUGUCAGGAAAAAUUCUUAUAUUAUCAUACUGUGAAUAAAUAUUGCAGAUUACCAACAUGUUCGAUGGCUUAGAUUUGCUCCCUGACAUAUACACCUUUUUCACAUAUAUGGGAUCAGCUAUCAGGCACCAUAUAUUCAUAGAAGAGUAUGAUCAACCGUAUAGUUUCACAAUCUAGCAAUAGAUUUUAAUUAUAAAAGAACAAGAUUUAAAUUAUCUUACGAUAGCAAUAGAUUUGCAAUUUUUGUUUUUGUUGCAGUCAUUUUGCUUCCAAGCAGUUGCUCCUAGGCCAUCGAAAGUUCCACCACCGGAUAAGGUGAGCCCAUCAAUGCGCUCAAAACCUAUCCAAGUAUCUGCUUUUGGGAGUUGGCUGCCAUCUUCUGGAGCCUGCAAUGUGCCCUGAAGCUGAAACUCAAUAGGGGCUUUGCAUGGUCCUUUGAAAGUUGCCCCUACAAACUUGUAUGUCCCACUUGGAACCACAAUUUUACUUGCCGAUGUCGAUGCACAUGCAUCUGUCCAAGCUUUGCUCAAAGCCUAAUUAAAACAUUGAAUAAAAAUUAAAAAUUGAAAUGAUUCUGUUUAAUUACCCAACAAUUCUAGAACGGAAAUGAUUUUCCACUUAUUAAUUUUCCCCAAGCAUAUUUAUUUCCUACUUCUAAAUUAAACAAAUCAAAAGAAAAAUCAAUAAACAAGAACAACAAUGUGCAAAGACCAAAGAGUGUGUACGGAAGUAAUUUCUGUUCUAACUCGAAAUAUUAGUUUAAAAAUUCAAGAAGAAUUACAUGCAUACAUAUAUAAUGCCUACCUGGGUAAUAUCAGAGUUUGCUUUUCCACCAUAAUUUGCACUUGUUACAUCAUAGACACCAGAUUGGGCAUUAGAUGUGGAUACUAACAACAAGGACACAAACAUUGGCAAGAUAUUUUUCAGUUUCAAAUCCAUCUUGAGUUUUCAAUUCGGAAUUAGUUUCUUACGUUUGGAAGUUCGAUGAAAACUUUAUUUUGGUUUCAUCAGAACUUUAUUCUCACAUUGGAAAGCUUAACGCCCUCAAAUUACUCAACCAAUUAUUAGCUAUUUUUAUGGAAGAUGCCUCAACCCCAAAAACCGUGCACGAAAAAAACUAGCCGCCGUUGAUUUAUUCAAAAGAAAAGCUUAAUUAAGAGCUUGAAAUUCCUCACAAAAUUUCUUCCAAGACAGGGAAAUAACCCCGAAUUAAGAUGCCUUAAUUAAGAUGUUUAAUUGCAAUGUAGUUCAAGAAUUGUAUCCUAUAAUUAGUAAUUAAUUAAGCUGCUUAUAGUUUUAGAACAUCAAUUACCACCACUACGUAUGGCCCUCGGCUAGUUCAGUGUUCAUUACCACUUCUUUAACAUAUUGUUCUCCAUGCUGCCCCUCCAAGUCAGUACUCAAAUUGUUUCUUCCAAGCAAACCCUAGUUGCUGCAGCCACCAGCACCCCGAUCAACGCCAACUCCACCACCGCGACACAACUACAACUUGUUUAAACUUGACGGCAUUACUUGUGGGAAUCUUCAACAAUUCUUCACAUCAUAGCAUAAUAUUCCAGCUCAACUCCAUCUCGGUCUCUCCCGUUAUAGUCUACUCCUCUUCACUGACCGCAAAUUGGUACAUCACUUUACUCAAUUACAAAGACAUGAGCAUCUACUAUGACUUACUCAUGCAAGUCUCGGUUUUCUAUCACAAGGAGUUUCUCUCCAUGACUAAUGUCGUCGCUAACGGUUGUACCAAGAUCCAAUUCGUCUGAAGAAUGAGACGCAAGUGCAUGCCAGUGCUUUUGCCUCGUCGGUGUUUGUCAAGGAUCUAGUUGUGGCUGCUAUGUUUGAGGAUUUCAGGGAUGGAAACGUGGGGUUCGACGUGGCAGUGUAGGGUGCUUAUAGGGUGUGGAAAGAGGAUCGCAUUCCGCAAGUAGGCUGUUGAGUAGGGGUGGGUUUAAAAAACCAAAAACUAAAAAAAAAUCGAACUGAACACCGAACCAAAGCCGGAAAAAAAAAAAUCAAACCAAGUGAACCGAAUCGAAAUAGGUUGGUUUGGUUUCGGUUUUGAUGGUCCAGAAACCGAACAGGAUCGAACCGAACCGAUUUAUAUUUAAUUAUUUAAUUGGGUUAAUCUCAGUUUACUAUCAUGAAGCUUCUUGGUUUUCAACAUUUAAUACAUGAAGUUUUUUUCAUCCUAGAGUGGUAUAUAAAGCCAUAAUUUUGGGACACUUUCAUAUAUCCGUUAAGUUUUCUGUUAAAUCAGUGGUUAACUGGUGACAUGGCACUCAUAUGGACAGUGACUAGGCACCACGUGUCAUCGGGGCCCACAUAAAUAUUAAAAAAAUUAAAAAAAUUAAAAAAAAAUGUUUUUGGGCCUUCCAACUUAACCCUCGACCCCCUCCCUCCCUUCUCUCCACUAAGCCUUCCAGCUCCCACCUCCUCCUAACCGCUGGCGAUCGCCAAGGCUGCAUCAUCCUCCUCGACCUCCACCUGUCUCCCAUCCUCUGGUUCGAUACCGACUCCUCCCCCUCCAAACUCGCCAUACAGGACCUCGCAUGGGUCCAGGCCCGACCUGACUCCUUCUACAUCUCCUCCAUCUUCGUCUACAACAACUCCACUAGCAAGGAGCUUGCUUUUCCCCUCCACGGUUCGUAUUGCAACUCUCAUUCAUCUUCUCACUAUAGUUUUUCCCCUCCAUGGUGAUUCACUGAAACGAAUCCAAACAACUCACUCACACUCAGUCACUCAUCUCUUUCCCCCUAUCUCUCCAUUUCUCUCUUUAAGGUUUUAGUUUGGGUUCAAUUGGAGUGGUCCGAAGAUCAAAAAAGGCGGCAGUGGCGGUGGGGAAGCAGAGGCAUCGGAGGAGGUGAUGGUGACCGAUUAGCUAAUGGUAUACAGAGGGGCGAAGAAAGAGAGAAGGUGUACGGCAAAAGAGCACAUCAGCAAAAUGCCUUUGUGCGCUGCUGGAAAAUGUAGCUCCAUUUACCGUGGAGACACUCGGUAAUUAAGCUCCUCUUUCUCUUUCUGUUUGGUUGCUGAGAAAAAAAAAAGAAAGGAAUUUUGAUUAGAUUUUGUUGAUGCACAAAAUCAGUGGGAACUUUGAUACAACAAAAAAUGUUAAGUUUGUGACCUUUGCUAAACUACUCUGGUCACUAGUGUGGAUAAGUAUGUAAAUGGAUAAAGACAGGGAAGCAAACACAAGAUGUACGUGGUUCACCCAGAUUGGUUACGUCCACAGAGUAGAGGAGUUCUCAUUAAUUGUGAAGGGUUUACACAAGUACAUAGGUUCAAGCUCUCCUUUAGUGAGUACUAGUGAAUGAUUUAGUACAAAUGACAUAAGGAAAUAUUGUGACAGAAUGAUCUCUAUUUAUAGAAGAGAGUUUCUAGUUUCAUUCUGACAUUGACACGUGUCGUGUUGUGAUUGGCCUCUGAUGUCGACACGUGUCACGUUAUGAUUGGCCUCUGAUGUUGACAUGCGUCGCGUUGUGAUUGGCCUCCUGAUUGGAGGGAGACUCUUGUGGGUCCUUGGCGGUAUAAUGUUGACCGGUGCUUAGUAGUUUCGAGGUUGGUCAAGUAUGGUACAAACAAAUUUGAUUAGGAAUUUGGGUAUGGAAAUGUAGGCAUAGGUGGACAAGUCAUUAUGAGGCUCAUCUCUAGGAUAAAAGUACUUGGAUUCAAAACCAGAAUAAGAAAGGAAUCCGAUGUCGUCAUCAAGAAGCUUCAGAUUCAAGCCAAAUCUGAUGUCGGCUGGUGAAGCUGUUGUAGAGAGAGAGGGAAGAGAAUCCGGAGAUGAAGGCAAAGAGGUAGAAGUCGGGUCGGGCCUGGACCCAUGCGAGGUCCUGGAUGGCGAGUUUGAAAGAGGAUGAGUCAAUAUCGAACCAGAGGAUGGGAGACUUGAGGCGGAGGUCGAGGAGGGUGAUGCAGCCCUGGUGAUCGCCAGCGGCGUGGAGGAAGUGGGAGCUGGAAGGCUCAGUGGAGAGAAAUGAAGAAGGGAGUCGGGGUUGAGCUGGAAGGCCCAAAAACAUUUUUAAUUUUUAAUUUUUUAAUAUUUAUAUGGGCCCUGAUGACACGUGGCACCUAGUCACUGUCCACGUGAGUGCCAUGUCACUAGUUAAUGGCUGAUUUAACAGCAAACUUAAUGGAUAUAUGAAAGUGUCCCAAAAUUGUGACUUUACGUACCACUCUAGGAUGAAAAAAAAUUCAUGUAUUAAAUGUUGAAAACCAAGAAUUUCAAGGUAGUAAACUGAGAUUAACCCUAUUUAAUAUAUAUUAAUUAUAUAAAUUAUAUACAAAUACUCAAAAUCUAGAGGCAAAAGUUUUUGAACCCCUUAUACCUCCUGGUUGAGAGUUUUUUGCUUCAGCCAACUUGAUAACAAGCUUUGUGUAGUUAUAAUCAUAUUAGUAAAAUAUUUAUACUGAUUCUAGAGCUUUAAUUCUUUAUAAGAUUUCUAAACACAAAACCCUAGCCGUCCCAUUUACUCCCAUUUCAUCUCCUUGUUCUGACUUAUCAGCCUCUCUCUUCGACCUUUGAAUUCUUGCAUCUCCAUAAUUUCUUUGUUGAACGCUCGAAUGUUUGCAACUACAAGCGAUUUAUACAAGGAUUUGCAGCAAUCCAUUCAUCAUUUUCAGGUGGGUCACCGCCGCGAUGCCAAAUUCAAGAAGUUCAAGUUUGAAAACGGUGCUCUCGCUGUAUCAAUUUCAUCUAUUUUGUUUCGAAAACGGUGCUCUCGUUGUAUCAAUUUCAUCUAUUUUGUUCCCAAUCUUGUAAAUUUGUUUAAUUUGUGAUUGAAUGAUUGGGUUCAUAAUCAUUACCCCUGCAAUGCUGAUAAGCAAUGCACAAACGUGGAGUUUUCUUAUAUGUAACCUGACCAGAACUCAUAACCCUUUUGAUGCAAAUUUUGAAAUGUGCAUUUUUUGUGCAAAUUGGUUCUGAUUGGGUUAUGAUGCAUCUGUGCAAUGUGCAUUUUUGUGCAAAUUGGUUCUGAUUAGGUUAUGCUGCACCUGUUUUGCUUUUCUUGAUUGUGCAUGCCUCCCUUUCUGAAUGGUUCUUGUUCCUCCACUCUCCAUCAUAAUUAAAAGAAAUUGUUGCAGAAAAGAGGAAGAAAACAAAUGGCAGAUCUUGAAGAUGCAGGGUCCAUUAAAAUCUAAAAUUUUAUGUACCCAAAAUUGCAAUGAUGAAGAUUAGAGCAAUGCAAGAGUGUUCAGAGCAAAGAAGAAUCUAAAAAACCCGAACCGAUUGGAAUGUGAUUGUUCUACACUAAUUGGAAAUUUUUAGGAAUUUUUUUCACCAUUGAAGAAAAAAAAAAAUCGAACCGAACUGAAAUCGAAUCGAAAAAAAAAAGAACUGAAAUUUCAAUUCGAUUUCAGUUUUAGCAAAAAAACAGAACCCAACCCUACUGUUGAGGGUUGAUUGUGAUUGUCAGGGUUGAGAUGUCAAACAAUGGAACUGAUGAAGCCUUGUCUGGUGGAUCAAGUAAAUUUGAUGUUGAGAUCAUUUUUAUGUACUGCUUCAAACUAUGCCCGUGCUACCUUUAUAUAUGUAUUAUUCUUUUGACUUCCAUUUAACUCAAUUGACUAAAAGCAACUACCCUAUAUACUCAAGAUCUCAAGUUCUAUUCCCACUUCUCCCAAUAUUUGCUUGCAUAAAAAACUUUUGUAAAAGUUUAGGGUUCUAGUAAAUAAAAUUUGACUAGCUACUUCAGUGCAUCAGUUUGUUUGGACCCAAAUUUACACCAUCGGCCCGUGUAAUCAAGGUCAUUGAGUAAGCAUAGUUCUCAACCGUCAGAUGAAAAAGUGAAGAUAUUUUUAUUAAAGGAUAAUAUUAUGGUUUUUGUCAUAGUAAUUAUUUUUUAUUUUGGAUUAUCUUAGCAUUAUAUCUUCGAACAAGUACAGUUCGAGUGAACUUGGGAUUACUGCUAUCAGACUGGAGAAACUUGGUAGAUGAGGUUUGAAAAGUCAUGGUGCAUGCACAGAUGGAUUAUGAAGAAGUCUAGAUAGGCUUGGCUUUAGUGGUGAUGUGAUAAGUCUAAGAUUUAAUAGUCUUAGAUAAUGAUGACAAGCCUAGGUAGGCUAGGCUAUGAUGAUAAGACUUUUAUUUGAAUAGGCUUUUGUGAGGUUUGGAAAAUCGUGAACAUCUAUCUGAAGGAUAUGGUAGUUCUCUGAUGCGGAUUAAUUUCAGUUCCGUGGAAAAGAAUUGCAGUUGGACUCUACAAGCAUCAUCAGGCUGUGCCAGGUAGAUAUCAAACGCUAUAAAUACAUGAAGGUUGUGCAGCAUUGAGGACAACUCCAACUCAACACACAAACUGCCAUGCGCAAACCCUCGCUCUACGCGAAACCUCUCAACAACCUUGAGAUUUUUAUUUUCCUUUUUCACCAACACAUCUUCAGUUUGGAUAAACAGCACUGUGAAGGCAACUGGCGAACAUCUUCAGUUUAAAUAAACAGCACUGUUGCCGUAGAAUCAGCUGACCGUAAAGCACCUUUAGUUUGGAUAACCAGCAUUGCGACAGGGUCGACUGGUUAUCUAUCCAAGUCUCGAUCGAGAAGGAUUUUCGAAUCCUUAUUGGCAGAGGUCAUCUCAUUAGCCUUUUCGACGAAGUGACGUGUUACAAGUUAUUACAUUCGGCACAUUGGAAGCUGAAUUUGAUAUUGAACUUCGCAGAACUAGCAGCCUUAUCUUCAGGCUCUAGAAUCCGAAGGCCGAGAGUGUUCCUUCCUCGGCCGCAGUCGCGAGAUUCAUAAGUCAGCAGCGUACCCAACGCAACAUCAACAAAUUUUACUCCUCGGCCGACGAGUUGGCACGCCCGCACAUAACCGAAUGACGUAGUUAGCUUAUUAAUUACUCGGCAUGCGCGCCACGUAGGCUUGGUAGUUUUUAGGGUCAACACAGUUAUAAGGAAAUAACUGUCGUUAGAAGGUCUAAACAGACUAAACAGAGAAUGUCAUAUUCCAAAAACUUGGAUGUCCUUGUAAUUUUUGUUUUCGUUAAAAAAAUGAAAAAAGUUCGAUAAUUACCCAAUAACCCUGUCACAAAUUACACGAAAGUAAAAUUCAUUUUUAUUUAUUUAAAAAUAAAUAAAAAUUAACACAUAAUACUAUGUAUUCUUCUUUUAGCUUGUAAAUGAAAUAUUUUAGACUAUUCACUACAAGUUAGAGAACAAUGGAGUAAUGAACACAAUUCUUGUCAUUUUUUUAUAAAGUGAGAUUUGAACAAAAAUCUCAACCGUCAACCCACAGUCAUCUCAUGCCAUUUGAGAAAAGUCUCAUGGGUAGCUUAUUUACGACGUACAACAAAAAUUAAAAUAAAUAAAUAAACACUUGUUUAUAAGGAAUAAUUGGUUUCUUUUCAAGAAGAGGUCGCGCAAGCAAGAGCCCGUGCCACGUUGUUAAUGGUGGGCUUGACAUGCUUACAUUGAGAGGUAAUAGGGCCUUUGUUUCCACUGUAUGUGAGAUCAAUGUCACUUAGUUGCACAUUCUCACAUGGCAGCCCUCCACUGCAUACAAUCUUAAUACCGACUGGGGUUGAAGAUGAGCCCUUUAUGUUUUUGAAGCUGACAUUGCUGAUCUUAACUUUGGAUGGAACCUGCAUGCAAUAAUAGUAUUAUUAGAAAACACUUUUUCUCAUAAAUAUAUUUAAUAAAUAGAUCAAAAAAUUCAAGUGGAUUUUCGAAAAACCGGAGUGCUUCCUGAAGACAUGUACUAUUCCAGAAUGAACUCAGGUAGGUAGUCAUUCAAAGUAGUGGAGGUUGGUGUCAAUAGAUCAGAUGGCCAUCGGUUGUAUUCUAUUAUUCAAGAUUAAGUAUUUGACUAAAUGAUAAAGAAAUUAUGAUGUUAAUUUUUGUGCAAAAUAGUAUACCUUAAGUGUGCACUGAUUCCAUGGACAAUACUCUUGGUCUAUGAUGACAGGGUUUCCAACAUUGUCCAUAAUAAUAUCCUCAAAGUGAACAUCUGAGACUACACCAUUUGAUGGAGAAGCAGGCCAUGUUUUGAUUCUCACACCAUUAUCUGUAUUUUUAAUUGUGCAGUUCUUGAUAAAGAUUCCGGACACAGGUUCUUCAUUCUGAUAUCUUCCGAGACUCCCGAUGCUUAUGCCAUGGCCGGGUCCGCAAGUAACUUUGGUUACAUGGAGUUGCUUGGUGCCAUCACCUAUAGAGAUGCAAUCAUCCCCUGUUCCAAUGGUUGAAUCUGUGAUGUUGAUCCCAGUUGAACGUCCGAUAUGAAUUCCAUCUGUGUUCAUGCUCUCUUUAGGCGCUGAGACGGUAAAAUGUUGGAAUACCACAUUGUUGCAACCCAAAACAUUGACGUGGAAAUUUUUGCUGUCUUUUGUUGUUAUGUCCCGAAUUAUGGAAUUGGUGACAAAAUUGAACCUCAGAUUCUGCGAAUAAUGUCUCAUGCCAAAGUUACGUUUUGUCAUAAAAAAAAUUCUUAUAUUGUCAGAUUGUGUAUCAAAAUUGCAAAUUAUUAACAUGAUCGAUGACUUAGAUUUGAUGCCCGACACAUACCCUUUUCAAAUAUAUGGUCCGGCAUCAGCCGUUUAGUUUCACAAUCAAGCAAUAGAUUUAAAUUAUAAAAGAACAAGAUUUAAAUUUCUUACGAUAGCAAUAGAUUUGCAAUUUUUGUUUUUGUUGCAAUCAUUUUGCUUCCAAG